UCUGCAUGACUUACCUCCAGCAAGCUCCUCCAGGCUUGGAACGUGAAAAGCAAACCUUUCAACUUUGGCCAUUUCCUAAUUGUUACUGAUUUCUUCAGGUAAGAAAUAUAUUAUCACACACUGUAGAAGUGACUGAUCUCAAUCACUAAACAGAAAAACUAGAUAAAGCUCAGUGUCCCAUAAAAAACACCAUCUGAUCGCUAUGUAGUAGUCGACCUGGAAG
This is a long non-coding RNA of Oxyura jamaicensis (ruddy duck), 223 nucleotides long. RefSeq lists it as uncharacterized. The record is from RefSeq and is a predicted model, not a curated record. Lineage: Eukaryota; Metazoa; Chordata; Aves; Anseriformes; Anatidae. The transcript has 3 exons.